Molecule: ribosomal RNA, 1487 nt
Filed under: uncultured bacterium
Lineage: Bacteria
Description: bacterial SSU rRNA
Rfam family: Bacterial small subunit ribosomal RNA
Source: RNAcentral
AGAGUUUGAUCCUGGCUCAGGACGAACGCUGGCGGCGUGCUUAACACAUGCAAGUCAAGGAGAACGGAUCCUUCGGGAUACUAUUAAACUGGCGAACGGGUGAGUAACACGUAGGCAACUUGCCUUGGAGAUUGGGAUAACUCCGGGAAACCGGGACUAAUACCAAAUAAUGCAGCGUAUCCUUCGGGAUAUGUUGUUAAAGUGGGCUUCGGCUCACACUUCAAGAUGGGCCUGCGUCCGAUUAGCUUGUUGGUGAGGUAAUGGCUCACCAAGGCGAUGAUCGGUAGCUGGUCUGAGAGGAUGAUCCGCCACACUGGAACUGAGACACGGUCCAGACUCCUACGGGAGGCAGCAGUGGGGAAUAUUGCAGAAUGGAGGCAACUCUGAUGCAGCAAUGUCGCGUGAGUGAAGAAGGCCCUUGGGUCGUAAAGCUCUUUUAUGGGGGAAGAUGAUGACGGUACCCCAGGAAUAAGCACCGGCUAACUAUGUGCCAGCAGCCGCGGUAAUACAUAGGGUGCGAGCGUUGUUCGGAAUUACUGGGCGUAAAGGGCGCGCAGGCGGAAUAGUAAGUCGGAGGUGAAAGCCCGGGGCUCAACCCCGGAGGGUCUUUCGAAACUACUAAUCUAGAGAGGGUCAGGGGCCGGCAGAAUUCCUGGUGUAGAGGUGAAAUUCGUAGAUAUCAGGAGGAAUACCGGUGGCGAAGGCGGCCGGCUGGGGCCACUCUGACGCUGAGGCGCGAAAGCGUGGGGAGCAAACAGGAUUAGAUACCCUGGUAGUCCACGCCGUAAAAGAUGAGCCCUGGACGUCCGGAGGGUUCGACCCUUCUGGGUGUCUCAGCUAACGCAUUAAGUGCUCCGCCUGGGGAGUACGGUCGCAAGACUACAACUCAAAGGAAUUGACUGGGGCCCGCACAAGCGGUGGAACAUGUGGUUUAAUUCGAUGCAACGCGAAGAACCUUACCUGGUCUUGACAUCCUCGGACCGCUUCAGAGAUGAAGUUUCCUCUUCGGAGGCCGAGUGACAGGUGCUGCAUGGCUGUCGUCAGCUCGUGUCGUGAGAUGUUGGGUUAAGUCCCGCAACGAGCGCAACCCCUACCCUUAAUUGCCAUCGGGUUAUGCCGGGCACUUUAGGGGGACUGCCGGCGACAAGCCGGAGGAGGGUGGGGACGACGUCAAGUCCUCAUGGGCUUUAUGACCAGGGCUACACACGUGUUACAAUGGGAGUUACAGAGGGAAGCUAAACCGCGAGGUCAUGCCAAUCCCAGAAAAACUUUCUCAGUUCGGAUCGCAGUCUGCAACUCGACUGCGUGAAGCUGGAAUCGCUAGUAAUCGCGGAUCAGCACGCCGCGGUGAAUACGUUCCCGGGCCUUGUACACACCGCCCGUCACACCAUGGGAGCCGACAAGGGCAGAAGUCGCCGAGCUAACCUUCGGGAGGCAGGCGCCCAAGCUGUUGUUGACGACUGGGGUGAAGUCGUAACAAGGUAGCC